This 371-nucleotide ribosomal RNA is filed under the name uncultured organism. Its description in RNAcentral is "bacterial SSU rRNA". It matches the Rfam family "Bacterial small subunit ribosomal RNA", at positions 526 to 896 of the family's 1533-position model. The record is from RNAcentral.
CAGAGGGUGCGAGCGUUGUCCGGAAUCACUGGGCGUAAAGGGCGCGUAGGCGGUUUUGUAAGUUGGGGUGAAAUGCUGCGGCUCAACCGCAGCGCUGCCCUCAAGACUGCAAGACUUGAGCACGGUAGAGGCGGAUGGAAUUCCCGGUGUAGCGGUGGAAUGCGUAGAGAUCGGGAAGAACACCAAUGGCGAAGGCAGUCCGCUGGGCCGUUGCUGACGCUGAGGCGCGACAGCGUGGGGAGCAAACAGGAUUAGAUACCCUGGUAGUCCACGCCGUAAACGAUGGGCACUAGGCGUCGGGGGGAGCGACCCUCCCGGUGCCGUCGCUAACGCAGUAAGUGCCCCGCCUGGGGAGUACGGCCGCAAGGUUG